This 486-nucleotide ribosomal RNA is filed under the name uncultured bacterium. RNAcentral's name for it is "partial 16S ribosomal RNA". It matches the Rfam family "Bacterial small subunit ribosomal RNA", at positions 28 to 507 of the family's 1533-position model. The record is from RNAcentral.
GAUGAACGCUAGCAGCAGGCUUAACACAUGCAAGUCGAGGGGCAGCGCGGGAUAGCAAUAUCCUGGCGGCGACCGGCGGAAGGGUGCGUAACGCGUGAGCGACAUGCCCGUUGCCCGGGGACAACCGGUGGAAACGCCGACUAAUCCCCGAUGGGAUAUUGUGCCGCAUGGCACGAUAUUGAAAGUUACGGCGGCGACGGAUUGGCUCGCGUCCGAUUAGCUUGUUGGCGGGGUAACGGCCCACCAAGGCUGCGAUCGGUAGGGGUUCUGAGAGGAAGGCCCCCCACAAUGGGACUGAGACACGGCCCAUACUCCUACGGGAGGCAGCAGUGAGGAAUAUUGGUCAAUGGGCGGAAGCCUGAACCAGCCAUGCCGCGUGCGGGAAGGAGGCCCUAUGGGCUGUGAACCGCUUUUGCCUGGGGGCAAUAAGGGCGUCGCGCACGUCCGAUGAGAGUACCAGGCGAAUAAGCAUCGGCUAACUCCGUG